AAGCUAAGGAGCAGUAUGAGAGGCAAACCCCUCAUAUAAUGCGAGAGAGUGAAGCGUAGCGAACAUAAGGGUAGCGAAGUGUGUGGAGAGGCUGUCAGGAAAAGCCGCUAUAGUGUAUCAUGAACCCGUACCGUAAACCGACACAGGUGGAUGAGGAGAGAAUCCUAAGGCCGACGGAAGAAGCAUUGUUAAGGAAUUCGGCAAAAUGACCCCGUAACUUCGGGAGAAGGGGUGCCUGCGCAAGCAGGUCGCAGAGAAUUGGUCCAAGCAACUGUUUAGCAAAAACACAGGUUUAUGCGAAACCGAAAGGUGAAGUAUAUGAGCUGACGCCUGCCCGGUGCUGGAAGGUUAAGGGGAGUGCUUAGACUUCGGUCGAAGGUGCGAACUUAAGCCCCAGUAAACGGCGGCCGUAACGAUAACGGUCCUAAGGUAGCGAAAUUCCUUGUCGGGUAAGUUCCGACCCGCACGAAAGGUGUAAUGAUUUGGGCGCUGUCUCGACAAUGCAUCCGGUGAAAUUGAAGUACCAGUGAAGAUGCUGGUUACCCGCGCCAGGACGGAAAGACCCCAUGGAGCUUUACUCUAGUUUGAUGCUGGGAUUCGAUACUGCAUGUACAGGAUAGGCGGGAGACUGAGAAGUAGUGACGUCAGUUGCUACAGAGUCGCUGUUGGGAUACCGCCCCUGCAGUAUUGGGUUUCUAACCUGCGGCCGUAAGCCGGUCGGGGGACAACGUCAGGCGGGGAGUUUGACUGGGGCGGUCGCCUCCGAAAGGGUAUCGGAGGCGCUCAAAGGUUCCCUCAGAAUGGUCGGAAACCAUUCGAAGAGUGCAAAGGCAGAAGGGAGCUUGACUGCGAGACCGACGGGUCGAGCAGGUACGAAAGUAGGACUUAGUGAUCCGGUGGUAUGAAAGUGGGAUUGCCAUCGCUCAACGGAUAAAAGCUACCCUGGGAUAACAGGCUUAUCACUCCCAAGAGUUCACAUCGACGGAGUGGUUUGGCACCUCGAUGUCGGCUCAUCGCAUCCUGGGGCUGUAGCAGGUCCCAAGGGUUGGGCUGUUCGCCCAUUAAAGCGGUACGCGAGCUGGGUUCAGAACGUCGUGAGACAGUUCGGUCCCUAUCCGGCGCGGGCGUAGGAUAUCUGAAAGGAGCUGGCCUUAGUACGAGAGGACCGGGCUGGACGAACCGCUGGUUCACCUGUUGUCAUACCAAUGGCAUAGCAGGGUAGCCAAGUUUGGAAGGGAUAAACGCUGAAGGCAUCUAAGCGUGAAGCCCCCCUUAAGAUAAGAUAUCCCUGGAGUAAUCCAGUAAGACCCCUUGAAGACGACGAGGUAGAUAGGGCAGAGGUGGAAGUGUGGUAACACAUGCAGCUGACUGUCACUAAUAGGUCGAGGGCUCG
Molecule: ribosomal RNA, 1393 nt
Filed under: metagenome
Description: bacterial LSU rRNA
Rfam family: Bacterial large subunit ribosomal RNA
Source: RNAcentral